Molecule: ribosomal RNA, 629 nt
Filed under: uncultured bacterium
Lineage: Bacteria
Description: bacterial SSU rRNA
Rfam family: Bacterial small subunit ribosomal RNA
Source: RNAcentral
GAAAGGAAAUAUUCGGUAAAAGAUGGGCCCGCAUCUGAUUAGCUAGUUGGUGAGAUAAUAGCCCACCAAGGCAACGAUCAGUAGCCGACCUGAGAGGGUGACCGGCCACAUUGGGACUGAGACACGGCCCAAACUCCUACGGGAGGCAGCAGUGGGGAAUAUUGCACAAUGGGCGAAAGCCUGAUGCAGCAACGCCGCGUGAAGGAAGACGGUUUUCGGAUUGUAAACUUCUAUCAAUAGGGAAGAAAGAAAUGACGGUACCUAAAUAAGAAGCCCCGGCUAACUACGUGCCAGCAGCCGCGGUAAUACGUAGGGGGCAAGCGUUAUCCGGAAUUACUGGGUGUAAAGGGAGAGUAGGCGGCAAGGUAAGCGAUAUGUGAAAGCCUUAAGCUUAACUUAAGGAUUGCAUAACGAACUAUCUAGCUAGAGUACAGGAGAGGAAAGCGGAAUUCCUAGUGUAGCGGUGAAAUGCGUAGAUAUUAGGAAGAACACCAGUGGCGAAGGCGGCUUUCUGGACUGAAACUGACGCUGAGGCUCGAAAGCGUGGGGAGCGAACAGGAUUAGAUACCCUGGUAGUCCACGCUGUAAACGAUGAGUGCUAGGUGUCGGGGAGGAAUUCCCGGUGCCGG